Molecule: ribosomal RNA, 402 nt
Filed under: uncultured prokaryote
Description: bacterial SSU rRNA
Rfam family: Bacterial small subunit ribosomal RNA
Source: RNAcentral
UGGGGAAUAUUGGACAAUGGGGGAAACCCUGAUCCAGCCAUGCCGCGUGAGUGAUGAAGGCCUUCGGGUUGUAAAGCUCUUUUGGGUGGGACGAUGAUGACGGUACCACCAGAAUAAGCUCCGGCUAACUUCGUGCCAGCAGCCGCGGUAAUACGAAGGGAGCUAGCGUUGUUCGGAAUUACUGGGCGUAAAGGGCGCGUAGGCGGCCUAACAAGUCAGGUGUGAAAGCCCUGGGCUCAACCCGGGAAUUGCGCUUGAGACUGUUAGGCUUGAAUUCGGUAGAGGUUGGUGGAAUUCCCAGUGUAGAGGUGAAAUUCGUAGAGAUUGGGAAGAACACCCGUGGCGAAGGCGGCCAACUGGACCGACAUUGACGCUGAGGCGCGAAAGCGUGGGGAGCAAACA